Molecule: long non-coding RNA, 233 nt
Filed under: Lathyrus oleraceus (garden pea)
Lineage: Eukaryota; Viridiplantae; Streptophyta; Magnoliopsida; Fabales; Fabaceae
Description: Pisum sativum (pea) long non-coding RNA (PSAT_LNC023758)
Source: RNAcentral
UUAUUUAUCUUCCUGCAUUUACAUUUCGUCGAAGUUUAUUUCAGUCUACCCACAUUAUAUCAGAUUCAAGUCUCCGAUUGGAGCAGGUUCUUAUUUUAUUCAGCUUUAUUUACGCUUUAAUUGCUUUAUUAUUUAUUAUCCUUGCUUUAAUUUCCAUGCAUUUUAUUUAUCGCAUUUUAUUUCCCCUAAUUUAAUUUCCUUGCCUUUUCCUUUAAACUACUUUAUUUGAAUCC